UACGUAGGGGGCAAGCGUUGUCCGGAUUUAUUGGGCGUAAAGAGCGUGUAGGCGGCUUGGUAGGUCUCGCGUCAAAACCUGAGGCUCAACCUCAGUUCGCGUGGGAAACCACCUAGCUAGAGUCCGGAAGAGGAGAACGGAAUUCCCAGUGUAGCGGUGAAAUGCGCAGAUAUUGGGAAGAACACCAGUGGCGAAGGCGGUUCUCUGGGACGGUACUGACGCUGAGGCACGAAAGCGUGGGGAGCAAACAGG
Molecule: ribosomal RNA, 252 nt
Filed under: uncultured bacterium
Lineage: Bacteria
Description: partial 16S ribosomal RNA
Rfam family: Bacterial small subunit ribosomal RNA
Source: RNAcentral